Molecule: non-coding RNA, 117 nt
Filed under: Pan paniscus (pygmy chimpanzee)
Lineage: Eukaryota; Metazoa; Chordata; Mammalia; Primates; Hominidae
Also listed under: 1 other name
Source: Rfam by way of RNAcentral
GCCAGGCGCGGUGGCUCACGCCUGUAAUCCCAGCACUUUGGGAGGCUGAGGCAGGUGGAUCACCUGAGGCCAGGAGUUCGAGACCAGCCUGGCCAACAUGGUGAAACCCUGUCUCUA